UACGGGGGGAGCAAGCGUUGUUCGGAUUUACUGGGCGUAAAGGGCGCGUAGGCGGUCAGCACAAGUCAGUUGUGAAAUCUCCGAGCUUAACUCGGAAAGGUCAACUGAUACUGUGCGACUAGAGUGCAGAAGGGGCAACUGGAAUUCUCGGUGUAGCGGUGGAAUGCGUAGAUAUCGAGAGGAACACCUGCGGCGAAGGCGGGUUGCUGGGCUGACACUGACGCUGAGGCGCGAAAGCUAGGGGAGCGAACGGG
Molecule: ribosomal RNA, 254 nt
Filed under: uncultured bacterium
Lineage: Bacteria
Description: partial 16S ribosomal RNA
Rfam family: Bacterial small subunit ribosomal RNA
Source: RNAcentral